Serinus canaria (Common canary) is the source of this 1494-nucleotide long non-coding RNA. RefSeq lists it as uncharacterized. Lineage: Eukaryota; Metazoa; Chordata; Aves; Passeriformes; Fringillidae. The record is from RefSeq and is a predicted model, not a curated record. The transcript is spliced from 3 exons.
UCCACAGAGCAAGGGGGCCCCCAUCCCAGGGAAGGUGCUGAUCCCAGAAAAGCGCUGAUCUUCAGAUUUCGCAGCACAGUCAGGCCGGCGCCCAGCUGCGAGGGCCCGCCCCCGCAGAGGGACAGGCUGCUGGUGUCUGCUUCUGUCCUUGUCCGUCUCCCCUGGCAACCUGAUGGAGGCAGCGGGGGGCGGGCCAGCUGGGAAUGGCGAGGCGGGCUGGGGAUCCUCUGCAGCGUCACAGCUCAUAAUCCCGGAUGGGAGCCGGGCCGGCUGGAAAAGCAGGCUGUGAGCGCCGCUGCCGAUGAGCCAGCUGUAGGCUGCAGGGCAGAGGGGCUGGUUUAUGAGUUCCAGCGCGGGGGAGCUGGCCGCUGUCGUGGAACCGACUGCAUCCCUUGUCGGCGGCAGAGGCAGCUCCGCCCUCACCUGCGGUGCAGGGAGGAGGAAACCCAGCGGCGGGGCCGAGGAGCUCCCGGCUCCCGCCACUUCAUCCGCCCGCGCCCGAAGUGGGGCCGAUCCACACGCCGCACGGGGAGGGGGUGGGGGGAGAGGAGGAGGCGAUUGUCCCGUUUGCGCUGGUGAAGGUGAAGGGGCAGGAGCGACCACGGCUCUGGUCGGAGUAAUUGCUGACCGUGGAAGCGGAGCUGCUGAAUGCGUCGGUCUUUCCUGCGCAUGCGCCGACCUACUCGAACCUGCUUCAGAUUGGGACCUGGGAAAAACCGAGAGUUUGCACCUUGUGGCCUGCAGCAGCUAGCCCAGAGCCGGAGGGACUGAUAACAGAGCGACCACCCCCAAGAGAGACUUUCUGAAUUUGUCAUGUUUUUCAGAGCAGUGAAAGAGUGGUGGCAUCUGACCUACUCGAACCUGCUUCAGAUUGGGACCUGGGAAACACCGAGAGUUUGCACCCUGUAGCCUGCAGCAGCUACCCCAGCACUGGAGGGACUGAUAACAAAGCAACCACCCCCAAGAAAUACUUUCUGAAUUUGUCAUCUUUUUCAGAGCGGUGAAAGAGUGGUGUCAUCCGGUAUUGUUCAUUUUGUGUGCUGGGGGGUGCUGUGCCUGUUAAAUAAACAGGUUCUUUCCACUUUUCUCGGAAGAAUCCUUCCCGAACCAGUUGGGGGGAGGGGCUGUGUGAGUUUCCUUUCUGGAGGGACCCCCUUUUAGUGGUUUUCUCCCAAAUUUGCCCUUAACCAAGACACUGCCCUUUGCAAAAUGUAGGUGGACAUUUGGGGAAAGGUGCCAACGGAGACAGAGGUUCCGUUUUCUUCUUCAGAGGAGAGAGUUAUUACCCUCUGGAUGUUGUGGGGUUGUGAAGACAGAGUUCAUAUGGUGACGAGACAUUUUUAUGAGUUUUUCAGAUGGACAAAAUUCCAUGGAUUUUUCAUGGAUUUGAUAUAUUCUCUCAAUUUAAAUGUAUGGGAAUGCAUGGAACCCAUUUCUGAGGAGACAUUUGACCGGGGUCUUGGACUUCCCCGAAUUUAUCCGGCAUUCACAACU